CCAAACUGUUGCCUCGGCGGGGUCACGCCCCGGGUGCGUCGCAGCCCCGGAACCAGGCGCCCGCCGGAGGGACCAACCAAACUCUUUCUGUAGUCCCCUCGCGGACGUUAUUUCUUACAGCUCUGAGCAAAAAUUCAAAAUGAAUCAAAACUUUCAACAACGGAUCUCUUGGUUCUGGCAUCGAUGAAGAACGCAGCGAAAUGCGAUAAGUAAUGUGAAUUGCAGAAUUCAGUGAAUCAUCGAAUCUUUGAACGCACAUUGCGCCCGCCAGUAUUCUGGCGGGCAUGCCUGUCCGAGCGUCAUUUCAACCCUCGAACCCCUCCGGGGGGUCGGCGUUGGGGAUCGGGAACCCCUAAGACGGGAUCCCGGCCCCGAAAUACAGUGGCGGUCUCGCCGCAGCCUCUCAUGCGCAGUAGUUUGCACAACUCGCACCGGGAGCGCGGCGCGUCCACGUCCGUAAAACACCCAACUUCUGAAAU
Molecule: ribosomal RNA, 479 nt
Filed under: Trichoderma sp. FLS-2010
Lineage: Eukaryota; Fungi; Ascomycota; Sordariomycetes; Hypocreales; Hypocreaceae
Description: eukaryotic LSU rRNA
Rfam family: 5.8S ribosomal RNA (bases 149-302)
Source: RNAcentral